AAAUUGAAGAGUUUGAUCAUGGCUCAGAUUGAACGCUGGCGGCAGGCCUAACACAUGCAAGUCGAACGGUAACAGGAAGCAGCUUGCUGCUUUGCUGACGAGUGGCGGACGGGUGAGUAAUGUCUGGGAAACUGCCUGAUGGAGGGGGAUAACUACGGGAAACGGUAGCUAAUACCGCAUAACGUCGCAAGACCAAAGAGGGGGACCUUCGGGCCUCUUGCCAUCGGAUGUGCCCAGAUGGGAUUAGCUUGUUGGUGGGGUAACGGCUCACCAAGGCGACGAUCCCUAGCUGGUCUGAGAGGAUGACCAGCCACACUGGAACUGAGACACGGUCCAGACUCCUACGGGAGGCAGCAGUGGGGAAUAUUGCACAAUGGGCGCAAGCCUGAUGCAGCCAUGCCGCGUGUAUGAAGAAGGCCUUCGGGUUGUAAAGUACUUUCAGCGGGGAGGAAGGGAGUAAAGU
RNAcentral lists this ribosomal RNA (463 nucleotides) under Escherichia coli. RNAcentral's name for it is "bacterial SSU rRNA". It matches the Rfam family "Bacterial small subunit ribosomal RNA", at positions 1 to 460 of the family's 1533-position model. The record is from RNAcentral. Lineage: Bacteria; Pseudomonadati; Pseudomonadota; Gammaproteobacteria; Enterobacterales; Enterobacteriaceae.